Long non-coding RNA from Mauremys reevesii (Reeves's turtle), 309 nucleotides. RefSeq lists it as uncharacterized. The transcript has 3 exons. The record is from RefSeq and is a predicted model, not a curated record. NCBI's taxonomy places the organism in Eukaryota, Metazoa, Chordata, Testudines, Geoemydidae.
CUGCCCACAGCAUCAACACCUGCAGGACAAGGAAAAUAACACUGAACUAAGGGAGGCAUCUUAGCUGGAUGGAAUUCAGCCAGUAAGAUUGCUGAAGUAUAUGAUACAGAUCCAAAUGACUGAUGAAUCAUAGUGCUGAGUGAAACGUUCCAUGUGUAUUUAAUAGUCUAUAGGAAAUAGAGGACAGAGGUGCAUCUUUUCAGCACCUUAUCGGCCAAGAACUUGGAAUGCUGCAGGUUUCAUUUUGCUUUGUGCUCUUCAGACUGGUCUGCGCUCACAAGUCACUGCGUUGUCUUUGCCACUGUGAUG